This 301-nucleotide ribosomal RNA is filed under the name uncultured bacterium. RNAcentral describes it as "partial 16S ribosomal RNA". It matches the Rfam family "Bacterial small subunit ribosomal RNA", at positions 509 to 807 of the family's 1533-position model. The record is from RNAcentral.
CAGUCGCCACGGUAAUACGUAGGUGGCAAGCGUUGUCCGGAAUUAUUGGGCGUAAAGGGCUCGCAGGCGGUUUCUUAAGUCUGAUGUGAAAGCCCCCGGCUCAACCGGGGAGGGUCAUUGGAAACUGGGAAACUUGAGUGCAGAAGAGGAGAGUGGAAUUCCACGUGUAGCGGUGAAAUGCGUAGAGAUGUGGAGGAGCACCAGUGGCGAAGGCGACUCUCUGGUCUGUAACUGACGCUGAGGAGCGAAAGCGUGGGGAGCGAACAGGAUUAGAUACCCGUGUAGUCCCUGUCUCUUAUAC